CCAAGCUGGAUUUUGACGUAAUUUCUUCUGAUGUAGCUAGCAGUUGGUAGAGGUGUGUUUAAAUAUCGGCAGCACCCUGACAGCGAUUAGAAUGUCCUCCGUGUGCUAGUCUUCUUGAUCCUUGAAUUCCGUGGAGCUCAAAUCGACAACAAAGCUUUGUGGAACUGAUUAGGUGUUAGUAUAAAUAUCUAGCCUUUAUCAUGUUGAGCCUCCUCAAUAAAUGCUACUUUCUUUGGUAGGAUCACAAUUUUAUUUUUAUAUUUUCAUUUUUAUAGAGCAGAAGAAUAUUGUCGGUGUUUUCCCCCGGGGGGUCACACCAACGAGUAAAACUUGUGUGCGUGUUCCCUUUCCCAGAUGGUGAUGCAAGAAAGACACAAAGAUUUAUCCUGGUUCGGGCAAGAGAAGGCCUACGUCCAGCGGGGGAUGUUUCUAUUAUCUUGCACCUAAGUGCUUGUACUGGGGCGAAUACAAGUUGGUGUUGUGAUGGAUCCUAAGUUCUAGACCGAGGUAGUGUGUCGUUGUCCUCUACGUAUCUCUUCCUAUGCCUCCCCUUUUAUAGUCCAAGGAGAGACCUAGGUUACAUGGCGUAGGUGACAGAGUAGGGGUCAAUAGGGGCGUGGCACGCUGACGUACUCGAGGCUUCCGUACCGGCGUGGCCUCGAGCCGUCUUGUUACACAGUAUUUGGGUGA
RNAcentral lists this long non-coding RNA (690 nucleotides) under Sorghum bicolor (sorghum). RNAcentral's name for it is "long non-coding RNA (SBIC_LNC012877)". Lineage: Eukaryota; Viridiplantae; Streptophyta; Magnoliopsida; Poales; Poaceae. The record is from RNAcentral.